GACUUGCUUGUUUAUUCUCUCUCCCACUGGUUGGUAAAUUCCAUGGCUCCGCGGGUUUCUGGGUAAUGUGUUCACAGAACCUAGAUUGGGGCCUGACACCUGGUAGGCGUCUGGUUAAUAUUUGCGGGACGGAUUCAUGAAGGCCUUUCCAUGGUCGCUGAAGGGGACCAGCGGUGAGCGGUUCCCAUCUCGGGCCUGAGUCAGUGGCAACGCCUGGACACGGAGUAUGCUCAGGGUUUUCCAGCAGAAUCCGUGUUUGGCCUGGUCUCAGAGCAGCCUGGCUUCUCUGGAGCUGGAAUGAGAGCCUGAGGCAGAGAAAAAGCCAUCAAGUCAUCGAGCAUCUUUCAAGUCGAGGCAGCUCCAGUGCAGCCGGAACAAGCCCGCUUGGGAAGGGACCAUCCAUCCUGCCCCGGACCCCGUCUCCUUUACCGGGACUGUUAAAACACAAAACCACCCUGGCCCAGAGCACAGCAGUGACGGGCUGGCGGGAGGAAAGAGAAAAUGGCCUCCGAGUUCACCAAGAGCCUGUCAGCGUCCUCCCGGUCUCCACACAGGGCCAGGGAAUUCUCGGGACCUAGUCCUUGCCACUGCCAGCCCAGCCCAGCGCAGAUGUCACCGCGGCGUCCUCCCCGCGUCUGUUCCUAAGGUGCACAGCGAUGCUGUGCCUCCCCCUCCCCCGCUGGGAGAGGGGGAGGUCUAUUCACGAUGCUGGUUGGUGAGCAUGGACUUCAGACGUCCUGGCUGGGCCUCAGCCCAUUCAGAAGCCAGGCGGGAGCUCAGAGAACCCGGAGCCCUUGCAGGGUGGCUGCUCACAGACCCAGGCCUGGGAUGCGUGGAUCAGAGUGCCUUCUAAGUGAAGGGGGAGGCAGGCGGUGGUCCUGGCUGAAGUCAAGGUCAGCACACCUGUUCUCCUGAACCUGGCCAAGGCUGGGGAAGAGGCUUCGCUGCGGGAUAGGGCAAUACCAGGCUGGGGUUCUCUGGGCACAGAGGUCUGAGGGGAGGAGAGGCUGCCUGUGGGAGGCUCAGGGAGCGCCCAGUGGACCGGGGGCUGGCAAAGUCCAGGCGGGGCCCCCAGCCUCAGGGGCGGUUUCCUAGGAGCGUGGUGGACCCUCGGGGGAUUGAGGCCAUUUUUUUUUUUCCCUCUGCUUUUUAGGGCUUCACCUGCAGCUUGUGGAAGUUCCCAGGCUAGGGGUGGAAUCAGAGCUGCAGGUGCCAGUCUAUGCCACAGCCACAGCAAUGCCGGAUCCACUUUAUUUGCAGCGUACACCCCAGCUCAGGGCAAUGCCGGAUCCUUAACCCACUGAGGGAGGCCAGGGAUCGAACCUGCACCCUCACAGGCUCUGUGUCAGGUUCUUAACCCACUGAGCCAACACAGGAACUCCUUCCACUCUUCACAGCUUCUCCUCCCACUUUGGGUUCCCCAGUUUUAAGUUACUUUUUCUUUAUUGUUCUGUUUUUAUUUUUUUGGCCAUGCCCUCGGCAUGUGGAAUUUCCUGGACCGGGAAUUGCGCUUGUGCCAUAGCAGUGACCCGAGCCACUAACUUUUUAGCGAUGACGCUAAAUUUUUAAUUGCUAGGCCACCAGGACACUCAGCUUUUUCUUUAUUGUUGAGCUGGCCUGCUACUGUAUUCAUUCUACUAGGUUGCUGUUGUGUGGUGAUUUUAUAAUUAUGAUCAUCAUGCAAAUGCUUUUUCUCAAACAAGUUUCGGUUCAUCUUGAAUCCGUACCUUUUUACACCUGUGAAAUAAAAGACAAGCAGAUUUUGUUCUUGUCCCAUAAAUACACAGGAGCUGCGCUUCGGGGGUGAGGUGUCUGGCUCUUCGUUACCUCCGGCACCAGCCAGUUCUGUGGACGGUCAGUUCACCUGUCCAUGCCUCAGUCUGCUCAUCUGUAAGAUGAGGACAGCAAGCGAAAUUGUUAAGGUUGUUUCCUACUUUACAAUGCUAAUUUUGAAGGUGGAUUUUAACUUGAUCUUGAAGUGUGCUUGACAGCUGCGGCUGAUCCUGAUGCCGCACGGGAAUGCUUUCAAACCCACCGUACUGUGAAAAAUCAUGUGGAACUUGUGCUCAGUGCCAAAAACAUCUUAAUUACCCGCUUUCUUUUAAAAUAUUCUUCCCAGUGGAUACAUGUUGGCAGGGGGCUGCCGGAGGUUGAGGGCAGAGGGAAGGAUGAGCAGAUGAUGUUCCUAAAACCCCACAUCUGAGAGGCAAGGGUUUUCUGUUAGUCCAUACAGCUCUGUUUCCCCAAACCUGCUUUCCUACUUAAGCAGAGAAGCUUGUUGGCCAAUACAGACAAGAUAGAGAUGAAAAAUUAUCAAUGUGAAACCGUCAGGAAACACCCCUCCCAACGAGUGGUCCACGUGGCAAGAAGGACGGGACUGUCCCCAAGGGGCUCGGGAAAUGGACCCGGGUUGGUCCCUCUGGCUCAGUUGGGAAGAUGCCGAGCCAGACUAGGACCGUUCUGUGCACCUGAUGGGCAUCUUUUUCCAGCAAACAAGGGUCUAAUUGACUUUAUUGCUUUCCUUGGAAGGCCCAGUCAAUCUCAGAAGGUUACGCAUGAGUAAAAAUCCACCCUAGAGUGGAAGGUACCUAAUAAUGCCUGUAAUGCCUAACUGGGAGGGCAUGCUCAUCUUUUUUUUUGGCGCCACCAGUGACAUAUGGAAGUUCCUGGGCCAGAGACUGAAUCUGAGCUGCAGCUGCAACCUACUCCACCACUGCAGCAAUGCCAGAUCCUUUAACCCACUGCUCCAGGCCAGGGAUGGAACCUGCACCUCUGCAGUGACCAGAGCUUCUGCAGUCAGAUUCUUAACCUGCUGCACUACAGUAAGAACUCCCCAUCUUUUUUAAAAAAUAGAAUAACAGCUGUAUUUUCUCUUGGAACUCCUGUGAAAGAUCUGGUUCCCCCGUGUUUUUUGUUUUUUGUUUUUUUUUUCCCUUUCCCUUCAGUUUACUUUGUCCCACUGUUGCCUAAUAUUUCUUCUUUUAGGUUUUUAAAAAAUUGUGGGAAAAAGUACACACACACAAAAAUGACAGCUUUAACUAUUUUCUGGCGUACAAUUCAGCAGAAUUAAGUCCAUUCAUAUUGUUGCACAACCUCCAAGGUCACCCGUCAGUCUAAUCUUUUCAAAUUUUGUCCUUACUCAGAACCUACAAUAAUCUCCUGCUUCCCACUCUGCUGCCCCGUUGCCUACUCUGGGAUAAAGCCCAGCAGAAGCAGGCAGUGGGCUCCUUACAGCUUUCUCAGGGUCUGUGUAUUCCACUCAGUGUUCCGUAAGCACCUGCAGGGUGUCUCCUAGGCGAGUGCACAGGUUUUGGAGUUGGGCAGUUCCAGGUUUCCACUUUGUCUCCCAGACACACUGGCCGGUGGGGCUUUGGGCAUGUCAGGCAACCACCUUCAAUCCCAGAGCUAAAGGACAAGCAGAUUUUGUUCUUGUCCCAUAAAUACACAGUAGUUGCACUUCAGGGGUGAGGUGUCUGGCUCAUCAAGAAACUCAACAACAGGCACAUGAAAGAUCUCAACAUUCCUAAAGAUUAGAGAAAUGUAAAACUAUGUUAUAGUCAGAGUGGCCAUCUUCAAAAAGACUAUAACUAAUAAGUGCUGCAGAGAGUGUGGAGAAAAGGGACCCUCCUACCCUGGUGGUGGGAAUGUACAUUGGUGCAACCGCUGUGGAGAACAGUAUGGAGGUUCCCUAAAAUACUAGAGUUAUCGUAUGAUCCAAAGCUGCUCCUUAGCAUAUAUAUUCAGAAAAGAUGAAAACCCUACUUGAGGGAGUUCCAGCUGUGGCUCAGUGGUUAACAAACCCGACUAACAUCCAUGAGGAUGCGUGGGUUCAAUCCCUGGCCACACUCAGUGGGUUAAGGAUCCGGCAUUGCCAUGAGCUGUGGUGUAGGUCGCAGAUGCGGCUCAGAUCCCAUGUUGCUGUGGCUGUGGCGUAGGCUGGCAGCUACAGCUCCGAUUGGACCCCUAGCUUGGGAACCUCCAUAUGCUGCUGGUGUAGCCCUAAAAUACAAAAAAAAAAAAAA
Molecule: long non-coding RNA, 4022 nt
Filed under: Sus scrofa (pig)
Lineage: Eukaryota; Metazoa; Chordata; Mammalia; Artiodactyla; Suidae
Description: lncRNA (ENSSSCG00040061306.1)
Source: RNAcentral